UAGGGAAUCUUCGGCAAUGGACGGAAGUCUGACCGAGCAACGCCGCGUGAGUGAAGAAGGUUUUCGGAUCGUAAAGCUCUGUUGUAAGAGAAGAACGAGUGUGAGAGUGGAAAGUUCACACUGUGACGGUAUCUUACCAGAAAGGGACGGCUAACUACGUGCCAGCAGCCGCGGUAAUACGUAGGUCCCGAGCGUUGUCCGGAUUUAUUGGGCGUAAAGCGAGCGCAGGCGGUUAGAUAAGUCUGAAGUUAAAGGCUGUGGCUUAACCAUAGUACGCUUUGGAAACUGUUUAACUUGAGUGCAAGAGGGGAGAGUGGAAUUCCAUGUGUAGCGGUGAAAUGCGUAGAUAUAUGGAGGAACACCGGUGGCGAAAGCGGCUCUCUGGCUUGUAACUGACGCUGAGGCUCGAAAGCGUGGGGAGCAAACAGG
This 429-nucleotide ribosomal RNA is filed under the name bacterium. Its description in RNAcentral is "partial 16S ribosomal RNA". It matches the Rfam family "Bacterial small subunit ribosomal RNA", at positions 355 to 776 of the family's 1533-position model. The record is from RNAcentral. RNAcentral also lists the same sequence under 6 other names.